Molecule: unclassified non-coding RNA, 307 nt
Filed under: Dokdonella immobilis
Lineage: Bacteria; Pseudomonadati; Pseudomonadota; Gammaproteobacteria; Lysobacterales; Rhodanobacteraceae
Description: Long range pseudoknot
Source: RNAcentral
ACCGACGUUGGCGACUACGCGAUCAAGCUGCGCAAUCUGCGCCGCUUCCUCGACGAGGGCGACAAGGUCAAGAUCACCAUCCGCUUCCGCGGUCGCGAAAUGGCGCACCAGGAACUCGGCGACGCCAUGGUCAAGAAGAUCGCGGCGGAUAUCGCCGAAGAGGCGGUGAUCGAGCAAUACCCGCGCAUGGAAGGCCGCUUGAUGGUCAUGAUGAUCGCGCCGAAGAAGAACAAGUAGGAUUUUUGCCGGCGGAGCGAUCCGGCGGCGAAUGAGGAGAGGCCCGGGAAUCCGGGUCAUACACACCGGA